Molecule: non-coding RNA, 1839 nt
Organism: Lolium perenne
Lineage: Eukaryota; Viridiplantae; Streptophyta; Magnoliopsida; Poales; Poaceae
Source: RefSeq, a predicted model, not a curated record
UCUGUUGGAUACGCAGCCGCCCACCCGACGCCUCCUCUCCCUGAUCGAUCUCGCCGCCGGCACAGUCCCUCCCUCGCCGGCCACCCUCCACCGCUCCCCUAAAUCCUUACCGCAGCGCUGACCCGCCUCCUGGACAAAUACCCAACGGAAGAGGAUGGCUCGCGGGGAUCCUGGUGGCCAUGCUCGAUGGGCUCCUGGUUGUGGCUGCCGUCCAUGCUCGCGGGGCUCCUGCUGGUGGCCGUCCGAGCAACGGGGACAACUCUCGGCGCCGCUGGACGCCGGCAGGAACGGCAGGGGGAUCGACGGAGGAAGGCCGGCCUGGUGGUGGCCUGACCAAGACGCUGCAGCCGGCGACCUUCUCCCCACGCCGGCAACAUCCCUGGACCUGCUGCUCCCGAUGCCAUCCACCUCUCCCUGCCGCUGCUGCCUCCCAAGACGUGACUAUUUCUCAUUACUCAAUCUAGCUACUUCUUUACCUGGUAUGAUGCCAUAGCAGACUGCUCAUAUUAAUGAAGCUAAGUGCGCAAAUGCUGCUCACCGGAAAUGAUAGGAACGCGUGGACCGGCCGGACACGGAGAGGAGAAAAGUCGCCGUGGACUACUUGGUGUUGUCUGACCUGUGGGAGAACUUUGCUGAGAGUACUGCCUACGGCCUCGCCGUGCUUGUCCGCCUCCUCGGCCACAUCCUACCUCUCCGCCAUCCAGCUAUACACAGCCACCAGCCUCACCAUCUGCAGGAGGAGAAUGGGGAGCGAAAUGGAUUACUGGAGGGGUGUUGGCUGCGAGAGGUUUGCAGGGCCAGCAUACAACAUUGUCGUCUUGUCGUCCAAGCCUGAAUUUCCAGUACAUGGAGUGGGACUGACCUUACCCCUGUCUGUCUCGUAAGCUACCCGUGCCUGCGGUUUCUGGCCCAGCAUCGACAUCAGAAGUGGAUGCACCCCUGGAGCCAUCCUUCCAGUACUUGUCUGUCGCGCCGAUGUAGACCGCUGGUGAUCUCUCUUGGCAACGGAUGAUGGGCGCUGCUGGUGUCGCCAGAGAGAACACCGUCGUCUUCACGUCCUGCUGCUUGGCAUCAACUAUGGCUAUGAGUUGGCCAAUGAAUUUUUUGAUACAGAGGAAAUUCAGAGGUUAUGGGAUCUGAAACAGCUUGUGUCAUGUUGAACAAGUAUUCUUCUGCAGUUAUGGACGAGACAGACCUAGAGGGUGCACUUACUGGUUUUGUGGUUGUAGUUCCUAUGGAGCCUGGAAAGGCUGAGUGGUAAGCAUUAUAGCAUUUAAUUAUUCUGAUUCACCAUUCCGUUGUAUCUGCACAAACAUGCGCAGCAUUGAAGAGAUCGAUAUAUGUAGAUUCUUGUAGUUGCACAAACAUGUCAUGAUGCAGAAUGUGAAAAAUUGAUGUCCUGGAAUAUUUUCAUUUCCUAUGGGAAGAAGUAGCAAAAAAUGUGUUCUGUUAUGGCUUUGCUUCAGUAUUUUCUUUAGAGUGAAUGUCUGAUUGAUUUUUUGAAAAUGCUCUGGUGUGUUCCAUUAGCUUGUUGCAGCUGAUCUGAGGUAGAUCUCCAAAACAAUUAAUGUUGUGGAAGAUGAUAUUGCAUCCUUGCUUUGAACCUUUCAGAAACGCAUUAGUAGCUAUCUAUGAUGUCUAUGUUAGUUGGUUCAUGGUUGCUUAUUCUUGCACUCGAGAAGAGUUAUCGGAUCUAGCACAUGCCUUGACUAAAUACAUGCUCUUUUUGAUUGUGUGGUGGCCUGUAGAUGUCCUGUUGCUGCAGUCUGGUGUGUGGAUUAUGUUGAAACCAUCCUCUGAAUUUAUUGUUGCUAAAACUUGUCCGCUGACGAUCAUGUU